ACGCACUUGGUCAGCCAGCGUUGCCGUAAAAGUGUAAACGUUUUGCAAGCAUGAAGUCGGCUUCCCUUUUCAUCCAAAUCCAGUGCCACGUCACUCUGCUAAAAUGAUAUUUGGAUUGUUUCAAAUCCAAACACAUUCAAGCAGGUUCAUUCACCCUGCAGUGCGAGCGUUCCUCCAUGCGGCGAGGCGGGGGCGAUUCAGCACGAUGAUGGAUGACACUGUGAUUUACUGAGACUCUCCUCUUCCCCAAAAAAAGAUAACGAGAAGAUAAUGAAAAGACUGACUGACGGCAGCAGCAGCCGCCAUUGUGCGCACGCAGUUGAUGCAUGCCAUCCCCCAUUAAUUAAGCACAGUUAUUUCACAGACACACACACGCCAGCAAGACCACAGCUCAUACAUCAAAACAGGACUCGGCACGAGUCUAUUUUUAGACGCUGGCUUGUACAAAUAAUCAAAGCACGAGUGCACACGAAAGCAGCCAAUGACGAUGGCCGCCAUUCUUCAUUUUAAGCGUACCCUGUUUGUUUUUCUUACUGGAACAGGUGACAAUAAUUUACGACUGCUUUGUAUGACAAGAAGAAAAUGUUAUUUGUUUUAUCUAAAGUCCUUUAUGAUUCCAAUGACAUCAUUUUGCCUGUCUUCACUAAAGGAGGAAGCUUAAAAAGACAAAGGUAGAGCAGGGAAAGGAAGUGUGUUCUCCGGCUUUUUGGGAAAAGGUCGACAGGAUGAGCUCCAAGAAGACUGGACUACUACGGUCAAGGUGAUCAGAGAGACAGGCAGGAGAGUACUUGGUGUGUCUUCUGGUACGAACGGGGAGAAAGAGACUUGGUGGUGGAACAAGGGACACGAGCUGCUGAGACAGUUCUACACAGCAGUUAUCCAAUCAGUACCGUGUCUGGUUUGGAGCCGCCACAAAAAAAGGAAAAACUCAGACUACAAUGGACAAUCAAAACCGCUGAACGGAUUGUCGGCACUAUGCUACCCACUAUUGAGGAUUUGCACGCAACAUGAACUAGGUCCAGAGCAGGCAGGAUCCUCUCGGACCUACCACAUCCUGGCACCAGCUCUUCUAGCUCCUUCCGUCGGGAAAGUGAUACAGAUCAAUGAAAGUCAACACUAGCAGCUCAGCGAUGGCAAAGCGAAGCCCAAGGCAAGGCUUACUUACUUUGCCAAGCUCCAUAAAAGUUAUGAGAAGAAAAGUUCUAUGGCGUACUUCUACAUAGGUCUGAGUACUUUUGCCACAUAUGCCGUCCUCCAUGUGAGACCUCAGUUCAGUGAACGGUAAGGGAUUUUGGUUAUAUUUCUUCCCCCAAAAAAUUUACAUUUUGUACUUGUCAGUGAUACCAUUUGCAUAGUUAUUGUUCAUAUUUACCGCAAUUCACAGCGCAGCUGUUUAUAAGCCUAAUCCAGUACAUUUGUAAAGGAUUUGACCAUUUGGUACAUACGUACACUGCAGCUGUGUAAAACCCACAAGUACCCACAUUGAAACCCACCGUGAAACACGAGAUAUUUACAAAGACAGUACACAGAGUUUAACGCUAGUGCUAGCGCUGUGCUAAUGCUAAUGCUAGGGCCGUGCUAACACUAGCGCCGUGCUAACAGGGCUGGUCAAAAAAAAAAAAAAAACACUGGUAAAAAUCACCGAGACACAGCACUGACACGCUAGCGCAGCACUAACAGGGCCGGACCGGUAAAAGUCAAGCCUCGGCACAUAUAUUCCACCACUCUCACGCUUACUUUUUCCGCUCGAGUGCCCCCUUGCGGCCGUUAGAAAAAAAUGCACAAAUUAACCGCAUCACCGCAUAAACCCCAGGGUGGAAAGCGUGUGAAAAAAAGUCGCGGCUGAUACGUCGGAAAUUACGGUAUUUAAAUUGUAAUAUUGUGCCCUGUGUGGCACCAUCCUCCGACUCUCCUCAUAUCAUCAGCUCUAAUUGCCUAGUUGCUUAUAUAUAUAUAUAUAUAUAUAUAUCGUAAAAAAAAAAAUCUUUUCGGGCCGUAAACAAAAGGCAACAGCUGGAUCGAGGUGACGGCGUGUGGCUAAUAGCGCUUUAAUCUCCCACAGCGUCUACAUAAAACUUCAUCGUAACACUGACGGCUGCCAUAAAGCAUUCAGUCCACGGAUAGAAAGAAGGAGGCUAGACAGACUGAUGACUCAUAAUUAAACGCAAUCUUUACCUUAAUUAUUCUUUCUGUGCCAGGCAAUAUGCUUCCAGUCACUCACCAGAAGACCAUAAAAUGGGAUUUUCGAGACAAUUGCGCUCACGUUUUGCUUCGUAUCCCAAACAAUGGUUAUUACAGUAUGUCGAAGAAAGUAUGUAGGACGAAGUAAAACACAUAUACUGCAGGUGCUGAUGUGUUAGCUGGUGCGGCUGUGCGCCAGUUCAAGUGUUUCCAGUUUAUUCCAUUACGAUCUCCCAGUGGCAGCCGCCUGGACAGAUGUUCGCUGCUAAUGAGAGAAAGGACACACUUUUAUAACAUCACCUAUGACUCCUCGGGGGUUGAAGCUCUUCGGUGGUGGAUACAAACGACUGCCGUCGCUAAACAAGCCUCCGCUGGAGGAGAAUAACAACAAGAUGGGACGGAGGAGACGAUGACGGACUGAAGAGGGAAGCUGGCGGCAACGGCCGAGCAGCCUACUCGAUGACAUCUGCGAGACCCCGAGGCCUCGGGGCCACAAAACAUCCUCAAAGAAGAAGAAGCUGAGCUUCUUCAGACGGAGCAGCACCAGCGGGCUGUGCCCGCUACAUGCUGCAUCCGAGAUGGAACGCAGCAGACGUCUUCGAUUCAGCAGCGGAGAGGACGAGGAUCAACGGGGUCUGUUAUCCAUGACGGAUAAUCUCAAAGACUCCCACUCACGGACGACUGGAUCGACUGCAGAGAACUCCCGAACAUUCUUCUUCUUCUUUUCCUUUCGGCUUGUCCCGUUAGGGGUCGCUACAGCGUGUCAUCUUUUUCCGUCUAAGCCUAUCUGGUGCAUUCCUUCUCUCUAACACCCACUGUCCUCACGUCCUCCCUCACAACAUCCAUCAACCUUUUCUUUGGUCUUCCUCUCUCUCGCUCUUUUGCCUGGCAGCUCCAUCCUCAGCACCCUCCUACCAAUGUACUCACUCUCUCGCCUAUGAACAUGUCCAAACCAUUUAAGUCUGCUCUCUCGAACCUUGUCUCCAAAACAUCCAACUUUGGCUGUGCCUCUAAUGAGCUCAACCUCAACAUCUUCAUUUCUGCUUCCUGUCGUCUCUUCAUUGCCACCGUCUCUAAUCCGUACAUCAUGGCCAGCCUCACCACUGUUUUAGAAACUUUGCCCUUCAUCCUAGCGGAGACUCGUCUGUCACAUAGAACACCAGACACCUUCCGCCAACUGUUCCACCCCGUUUCUUCACUUCCUGACCACACUCUCUGUUGCUCUGUAUUGUUGACCAAGUCGUCCACCAUCUCUUCUCCCUAAAGCGUCACUCUCCCUCCUCCACCCUCUUCAGUUUUACUUUGGCUAAUCUUCAAUCAACUUCAGAACAUUGUACCGCUUUAAAAAUGUUUGGUUCCCGGUGUGUACUCCAAUAUGCAAUUGUAUGAAAACAAAAGGAAUCUGCAUUUCCGAGUGACAUGCUGUCAGUAGUCCCUUUGACACUGCCUUGAAAUUUCUAAUUUUGUAUGACUUUUUUGCAGGGUGGUGUUCUGGAUCAAAAGGCCUAGAUGUGGACCUCGGGGAAUGUACCCUUUCAAAUUCGAGCCCCUUUCACAGUGUCACUAAAAGCUCGUAUAUUGUCGCAAUGCAGCGUAAAUGUGGAUUGCUCUUGCACGGAUGGUGCUGAGACCGAUUCGGGGUACGAAGUCGACCUGGCAAAUUGCUGUCUUCGGAGGCGGCUGUAUUUGAAGCCUAUUUGAGAUUGCCUGCAAAAGCCAACAUGCUUCCAGAAUGAGGGCAGGAAGUGGAUCCAGGAAGAUUUUUACCUUUGGUGAUAAGCGAAGAAGCCCUUUUGACACUGCCUGUAAAAGAUAGUAUUUUUCCGAGAUAUUUGGUGAUUUUACGCAGGUCGGUGUGUAUAUUGAGUGGUAAAAUGGAUGCGAGGCAAAGUUGACCUGAUCGCGAUACAAUCGCGAUGCAACUUCAGUAGUUGUAUAGGAAAAUCACUUUUUACCCUGCAUAGAGCCACCAUGCACAUUGUAACAUCCUCUCCAAAAAUCUAGAAGCUUAAAGUCUUCAAGCGAGUUGUUUUCAAAUCUCAGUGUUGGGCUAAUUGUCAAAUGGAACGGACGAUUACACUCGGGUUUGCUACUGGAUGACAUAUUAUAUAGGAAAUAUCAAGUGGUGACAAAAAUAAUAAUGUCAUGUCAUUAUCCAAGCCGCUUAUCCUAACAAGGGUUGUGGGAAAGCUGGAGCCUAUCCAGGCUAGCUUUGGGCGAAACGCAGACUACACUCUGAACUGGUCGCCAGUCAGUCGCAGGGCAAAUAACGACACCAUCACUGAGCGGGAAUCGAUCCCACCGUGCCCGCACCAAAGGCAGGCGUGUGUUCCAACACACCAUCAAUGACCGAAAAUAUUAUACAAAUAAAUGCAUUCAUUAAAACAAUUUGCUUGUCGUAAACGAAAGCAAACAAAUCAAUCAUAGUUUCAAACCAUUAUAUAUGCUACCAUAGCAAGAAAAGCAAAGGAUACCGUAUGUAGAUGGAGGCGGGUGCUUCUAAAAGGAAGACUGGGCACAGCUAUUGAAUGAUGUGGGCCUACUGCAAAUUGAAAAUGAGAUUAAGUGUAAUUUAAUGCUACGCUCUAUUUGGGAUCAAAUAUAGCAAAUAGCCUGCAGGCCAAGCCCUCCAACAUCUGCAUAUCAAUGCUUCCCACUUAGGAAAGCAAAUAUAAACGGAGAAAGAACAU
Long non-coding RNA from Syngnathoides biaculeatus (alligator pipefish), 4871 nucleotides. RefSeq lists it as uncharacterized. The record is from RefSeq and is a predicted model, not a curated record. Lineage: Eukaryota; Metazoa; Chordata; Actinopteri; Syngnathiformes; Syngnathidae. The transcript has 3 exons.